RNAcentral lists this ribosomal RNA (660 nucleotides) under Bradyrhizobium sp. Its description in RNAcentral is "bacterial SSU rRNA". It matches the Rfam family "Bacterial small subunit ribosomal RNA", at positions 89 to 784 of the family's 1533-position model. Lineage: Bacteria; Pseudomonadati; Pseudomonadota; Alphaproteobacteria; Hyphomicrobiales; Nitrobacteraceae. The record is from RNAcentral.
ACGUCAGCGGCAGACGGGUGAGUAACGCGUGGGAACAUACCUUUUGGUUCGGAACAACACAGGGAAACUUGUGCUAAUACCGGAUAAGCCCUUACGGGGAAAGAUUUAUCGCCGAAAGAUUGGCCCGCGUCUGAUUAGCUAGUUGGUAGGGUAAUGGCCUACCAAGGCGACGAUCAGUAGCUGGUCUGAGAGGAUGAUCAGCCACAUUGGGACUGAGACACGGCCCAAACUCCUACGGGAGGCAGCAGUGGGGAAUAUUGGACAAUGGGGGCAACCCUGAUCCAGCCAUGCCGCGUGAGUGAUGAAGGCCCUAGGGUUGUAAAGCUCUUUUGUGCGGGAAGAUAAUGACGGUACCGCAAGAAUAAGCCCCGGCUAACUUCGUGCCAGCAGCCGCGGUAAUACGAAGGGGGCUAGCGUUGCUCGGAAUCACUGGGCGUAAAGGGUGCGUAGGCGGGUUUUUAAGUCAGGGGUGAAAUCCUGGAGCUCAACUCCAGAACUGCCUUUGAUACUGAAGAUCUUGAGUCCGGGAGAGGUGAGUGGAACUGCGAGUGUAGAGGUGAAAUUCGUAGAUAUUCGCAAGAACACCAGUGGCGAAGGCGGCUCACUGGCCCGGUACUGACGCUGAGGCACGAAAGCGUGGGGAGCAAACAGGAUUAGAUA